This 478-nucleotide ribosomal RNA is filed under the name uncultured bacterium. Its description in RNAcentral is "partial 16S ribosomal RNA". It matches the Rfam family "Bacterial small subunit ribosomal RNA", at positions 28 to 507 of the family's 1533-position model. The record is from RNAcentral.
GAUGAACGCUGGCGGCGUGCCUAACACAUGCAAGUCGAACGGAGUCCAGCCUUUAAGACCUUCGGGUCAAAGAGGGGAAGACUGAGUGGCGGACGGGUGAGUAACACGUGGGCAACCUGGCUCAUAGAGGGGGAUAACAGAGAGAAAUUUCUGCUAAUACCGCAUAAGCACACACUGCCGCAUGGCAGAGGGUGAAAAGAGAAUCGCUAUGAGAUGGACCCGCGUCUGAUUAGCCAGUUGGCAGGGUAAGAGCCUACCAAAGCGACGAUCAGUAGCCGAGCUGAGAGGAUGAACCGCCACACUGGGACUGAGACACGGCCCAAAAUCCUACGGGAGGCAGCAGUGGGGGAUAUUGCACAAUGGGGGGAACCCUGAUGCAGCGACGCCGCGUGAGUGAAGAAGUAUUUCGGUAUGUAAAGCUCUAUCAGCAGGGAAGAUAAUGACAGUACCUGAAGAAGAAGCCCCGGCUAACUACGUG